GGAUAGCUCAGUUGGUAGAGCAUGAGACUCUUACGUUCAAGGUUGCGGGUUCGAGCCCCUUGUUGGGCA
This is a non-coding RNA of Podarcis lilfordi (Lilford's wall lizard), 69 nucleotides long. The record is from the annotation of a GenBank genome assembly. NCBI's taxonomy places the organism in Eukaryota, Metazoa, Chordata, Lepidosauria, Squamata, Lacertidae.